GACGAACCGAGCGAACGUUGUUCGGAAUCACUGGGCUUAAAGGGCGCGUAGGCGGGUUCCAAAGUCCGUGGUGAAAUCCUCCAGCUUAACUGGAGAACUGCCUCGGAUACUGGGAGUCUCGAGGAAUGUAGGGGUAUGCGGAACUAUCGGUGGAGCGGUGAAAUGCGUUGAUAUCGAUAGGAACUCCGGUGGCGAAGGCGGCAUACUGGACAUUUUCUGACGCUGAGGCGCGAAAGCCAGGGGAGCAAACGGG
RNAcentral lists this ribosomal RNA (253 nucleotides) under uncultured bacterium. RNAcentral's name for it is "partial 16S ribosomal RNA". It matches the Rfam family "Bacterial small subunit ribosomal RNA", at positions 524 to 776 of the family's 1533-position model. The record is from RNAcentral.